Molecule: small RNA, 26 nt
Filed under: Bombyx mori (domestic silkworm)
Lineage: Eukaryota; Metazoa; Arthropoda; Insecta; Lepidoptera; Bombycidae
Description: ovarian small RNA-28474
Source: RNAcentral
UCGAUGAUUCUCAAAAGACUGUUGCC